This 397-nucleotide transfer-messenger RNA is filed under the name Patescibacteria group. RNAcentral's name for it is "OLB23 sp001567245 Standard tmRNA". It matches the Rfam family "transfer-messenger RNA". Rfam says of the family: Bacterial tmRNA, also known as 10Sa RNA or SsrA, is named for its dual tRNA and mRNA-like properties. The record is from RNAcentral.
GGGGAUGUCGGGUAUCGACGUGAAGAUUGUACUUUUAUAAGCGGCUAGAACGGAGUCAUCCGUUAAAUACAAAACACAAACGCAGAAAAACUUUCUGACGUAAUGGCUGGGCAAAAUUUUGCUGACGGUUUCGUUCCUGCAAAGGCACAAACUCGCUUGGCAUUCAAUUUUGCUUAAGUGUUACCCUCUCCUAGCAACGUCUUGAGCUAAGAGAUGAAAAUCAUAGACUAUAGCGCAGCGUGUUUUCGAUGAGCACAUGCGUAGAAAAAACCUCAUCGGCUUUUUUGUAAGGUUUGCGCGUUUACCUGCAAAACAGAAGCAAAAACCAGCUAUUUCUAGCUAUAACGUUUAUAAAAUGCCUUUGCGGACGGGGGUUCAACUCCCCCCAUCUCCACAA